RNAcentral lists this ribosomal RNA (253 nucleotides) under uncultured bacterium. RNAcentral describes it as "partial 16S ribosomal RNA". It matches the Rfam family "Bacterial small subunit ribosomal RNA", at positions 524 to 776 of the family's 1533-position model. The record is from RNAcentral.
UACGUAGGGUGCGAGCGUUGUCCGGAAUUACUGGGCGUAAAGAGCUCGUAGGCGGUUUGUCGCGUCUGCUGUGAAAACUCGGGGCUUAACCUCGAGCUGUCGGCGGAAACCAUCUGGCUAGAGUCCGGAAGAGGAGAAUGGAAUUCCCGGUGUAGCGGUGAAAUGCGCAGAUAUCGGGAAGAACACCCGUGGCGAAGGCGGUUCUCUGGGACGGUACUGACGCUGAGACGCGAAAGCGUGGGGAGCGAACAGG